UACGGAGGGUGCAAGCGUUAUCCGGAUUUACUGGGUUUAAAGGGUGUGUAGGCGGACUUUUAAGUCAGCGGUGAAAUCUCCGGGCUCAACCCGGAAACUGCCAUUGAUACUAUAGGUCUUGAAUGUUGUUGAGGUGGGCGGAACGGGUCAUGUAGCGGUGAAAUGCAUAGAUAUGACCCGGAACACCGAUUGCGAAGGCAGCCCACUAAGCAACGAUUGACGCUGAGGCACGAAAGCGUGGGGAUCAAACAGG
This 253-nucleotide ribosomal RNA is filed under the name uncultured bacterium. RNAcentral's name for it is "partial 16S ribosomal RNA". It matches the Rfam family "Bacterial small subunit ribosomal RNA", at positions 524 to 776 of the family's 1533-position model. The record is from RNAcentral.